This 253-nucleotide ribosomal RNA is filed under the name uncultured bacterium. RNAcentral's name for it is "partial 16S ribosomal RNA". It matches the Rfam family "Bacterial small subunit ribosomal RNA", at positions 524 to 776 of the family's 1533-position model. The record is from RNAcentral.
UACGGAAGGUGCAAGCGUUGUUCGGAAUGACUGGGCGUAAAGCGCACGUAGGCGGAUUCGUAAGUCAGGGGUGAAAUCCCGGGGCUCAACCUCGGAACUGCCUUUGAUACUGCGGGUCUUGAGUCCGAUAGAGGUGGGUGGAAUUCCUAGUGUAGAGGUGAAAUUCGUAGAUAUUAGGAAGAACACCGGUGGCGAAGGCGGCCCACUGGAUCGGUACUGACGCUGAGGUGCGAAAGCGUGGGGAGCAAACAGG